CCUACGGGUGGCAGCAGUGGGGAAUAUUGCACAAUGGGCGCAAGCCUGAUGCAGCCAUGCCGCGUGUAUGAAGAAGGCCUUCGGGUUGUAAAGUACUUUCAGCGGGGAGGAAGGUGUUGAGGUUAAUAACCUCAGCAAUUGACGUUACCCGCAGAAGAAGCACCGGCUAACUCCGUGCCAGCAGCCGCGGUAAUACGGAGGGUGCAAGCGUUAAUCGGAAUUACUGGGCGUAAAGCGCACGCAGGCGGUCUGUCAAGUCGGAUGUGAAAUCCCCGGGCUCAACCUGGGAACUGCAUUCGAAACUGGCAGGCUAGAGUCUUGUAGAGGGGGGUAGAAUUCCAGGUGUAGCGGUGAAAUGCGUAGAGAUCUGGAGGAAUACCGGUGGCGAAGGCGGCCCCCUGGACAAAGACUGACGCUCAGGUGCGAAAGCGUGGGGAGCAAACAGGAUUAGAUACCCUAGUAGUCC
Molecule: ribosomal RNA, 466 nt
Filed under: Streptococcus agalactiae
Lineage: Bacteria; Bacillati; Bacillota; Bacilli; Lactobacillales; Streptococcaceae
Description: bacterial SSU rRNA
Rfam family: Bacterial small subunit ribosomal RNA
Source: RNAcentral